RNAcentral lists this long non-coding RNA (6439 nucleotides) under Podarcis lilfordi (Lilford's wall lizard). Lineage: Eukaryota; Metazoa; Chordata; Lepidosauria; Squamata; Lacertidae. The record is from RNAcentral.
CAAUUCAUCUAUGUGUGGUUUUGUGCGUGUUCAUCUUCACAUGAUUGUUUUCAGUUGAACUCAAAUGUUUCUUAUGUACACUAGUGGGCAGUGCUUGAUGGGAUGCAUUUGACUGUGUGUUGUCACCUCUCCUCAAAUAAUAAUUCCCCACUCACCUUGAGUUCCGGAAACCCGAAGUCAGUUGUGGGCAUUCGUGCAGUUAUUUGCUAAGCUGUGCAUGUGGCCACUUCCCACCCCCCACCCCGAUACAGGUUUUCCAAUAUACCAGACUUGCACAGAGCAGCAGGUUACAAACGUGUGUUUGUGUGAGUGCAUCUCUUGUUCCUGGCUCCAUCAGCAGCCCACCAAGGUACUCCUUGCCAAUGGAAGGAGGGGGUGUAGUAAUAGACAGCACCCAGCAAAACGUCACCACAGCUGUAAAAACAAAACAAAACCAUUCACACAAUAUGCUUCAGUACAUCCACGUGAUUUUACGUUCAGUACAUCCAUGUGAUUUUAUGUUGGAUUUCCCCCCUUAUGGCAUUAUCCAGGAAAUCUAGAAAAUCAUAAUUAAAUUCUGAGGAGGAAAUUGUGGGCUGACACUGGGAUGAGGACAACAUCAUGUGGAACAUGCAAAGAACAUGUGCAUAUGAGAUGUAUAAAAUCUUCUUUAAACUACUUUGUGUGCAUAGCCUCAUAUAUACUGUGUGUGUGUGUGUAAUCUGAUUUACUUCCUAUUCAAAUACAUUGAAGGAGGUGUUUGCUCAAUGAAAACAUUUGUUAGCAGCAGAAGCUGAGAUCAGGGAAGAAACAGGAAAGGACUGUACUUUUCUGCGUAUAAUACGAGGUUUGUUUAAUAAAAUAAUUAUGUUUAAAAUUGGGGGUCGUCUUAUACAUGGAUAGUGCAUAGGGGGGACGUGAGCCGGAGAUUGUCAGAGGCUUUUGGGCGUGUUAUCAGUGGCUGUGCCAAGGGCUAGUGAUGAUUGGAUGUGCGAGUGGCAGUGUAGUUAAUUCGAGUGAGCAAUUUCCUUUAUCCCCCCCCCCCCAAAAAAACUCAACAACUCUGGGCAAUCCUCUCCAAAAAAGCUCCUCACCAACUCUGGGCAAUCUCCCCCCAUUUUUCUAAUUUGUAGUCCCCAAAAAUAUACACAGGGGCAGAAAAAUACGGUACUAUACUUGGGAAAAUAUGGUACUUUUUCACACAGUUUGCAUAUUACAGUAAACCAUAGUUUAUCAUGUGGACAAAACAAACCACAACCCUUAUUAUGAAUGAAGCAAUAUGGUUUAUUUUGCUCCAGAUAAACUGUUAUCAGUAAAAUAGCAACAAACCUUAUCGAAAUUUGCUUAGGGCAAAACAGAUCACAACCCCCAAUUUAUCUAUAAUGCUAAGCCAGGGGUUUGCUUCUCCAACCCUGAUAACCUCCCUCUUGUGGGUGGGUGGUGCUGGGUUUUGGCUUCAUAAGGAUCCACACUUGGAAAAUGAGUUUCAUAGAAUCAUAGAAUUGUAGAGCUGGAAAGGACCUUGAGGAUCAUCUAGUGCAACCUUUUGGUUGCUGCUGGAGGUUCAGUUACAGUUAAGACUAAAGAUCCAUUCAUUUGCAUUUGCAAAAUGGGAAAUGUGGUGGUUCUCCCUAAAACAGGAAACAUUCAACUGGUGUGAUAUCUAAUUAACUGCACUAGAAAUCAGUUGGGUUGGGCAAGAGCCAGAGAUUCUUGGAGUAUGCAUUGAUCUGACUGUGCCGUUAUUUUGAUUUAGCAUUGAACUCUCAAAAAGUUUCAAGUUUCCCAGGACAAAGUGAGAAUACUUUUGUUUCCUCUGCAUCCCAAAUUUGGAUUUCUUAGAGGAGCAAGGAGGUAGGUUAAAGAAUAGAGAGAGUGUUUUAUGGAAAGGGGUGGAUGAGGAGAAGUACCUUUGAGCACUCAUUUGGUUCAUGUGCUGUCUGUCCAUCUACAUUCACCGGUAAAGAGAGCCCAUUUCCCCAAAUCCUGGAAACAAUCUUGCCAAGAGAGAGAUCCUGUGUAUGUGUAUGCAUGUGUCUGUAUCUAGUUGUUUCAGAAGAGAAUCUACUAUAAAAGGAGUUAAUUUAUGUUAAUGGUUUUGUCAAAUUAAACAACUACACAUACAAAUUUACUUCCCUGAAUUCAUGGCAUUACAAUCUUCCCCAUGGCAACACCGAGAGUCAGAUAUUGAGUGGCAAAGUUCAAAUGGGUGAAAAAGGAAACAAAAUUGUCCAAAUAUAUUCAAUUACCAGUUUCUUUAAAAAAGAAAAGCAAGAUAAACCUUUAGACAGUGUUUUCUGCUUGCAGAGUCCUUUAUAAUGUUUGUUCAUUUUCUUCCCAUUGUACUAAAAUGUAUAUACAGAGAGUCCUUUUAAUUUCCCAUUAUACUGUAUACCAAAGCAUUCAUGCCUAAUACUAUUACUGAUAAAGAAACCACAAGCAUAUUUGCAGAGACUGAAUGUCUAUAAAGAGACGAUCAAGGGAGUCCCUUGAGAAAAUAAAGUCCCAUAUCAGAUUAUGUUGUGAAAAGGCUGGAACUAGUAUGCUCAGCUCAAUUACAGAAGAGUGUGUGUGUGUUUUAAAGAGAGUCAGUCCUGUUUUAUAUCACACAAUUAUUUUCUUAAGCCUAGGAACAUUACAUAAAUUAAAAUUUAAGAUAAUGGUCAUUUGGCACAAAACAAGCCCUAUGAAUGCUUUGGAUAAUAAUUAAAGAGGAUUUAGCAAGAUAAUCAGUUAAUAUUCUGUGGACUUUUGCAUCCAAAGUAAAAGCUGAGAGAUGUAGUGGCCCUGUUGGCAUGUUAUAUCAUUUAGUGUGAAUGGAAAUAUCACUUUCAUUUUGCUGAUCUCCCAGUGCAAGCAGGACCAACAAACCAUGAUCCCUGGCUUACCAAAUUGGCCAUGUGACACCCAACUAUGUCCCCGCUGGUACAAAAGGAUAAAAUGGGAGAGGUGUUAUUGAAUCACAGACUUGUAGAGUUGGAAGGGACACUAAGGAUCAUCUAUUCCAACCCACUUCAAUGCAGGAAUAGGCAGCCAUUCCAUACAGGGAUCAAAUCUGCAACCUUGGCGUUAUCAGUACCAUGCUCUAACCAGCUGAGCUAUUGGUUAGUUUUUGUUUUGGUUCUUGCUUUUAUUAUGUAUUUUGUGUUUGGAAGAAGGGCGGCAUACAAACUUUAAUAAGAAUAAUAAAAAAUAUUGUCAGCAGAUUUAUCUUUAUAAUAAAUUUAUUGUGUGGAUUGUCAGCAUUUUUUUUAAAGCAAUGGCAACCUCUGUGCAAAUAUUUUUUUAAAUCUAGUGAGAGAGAGAGAGAGAGAGGGACCAUGCAUAGCUGCAAAGCUCACUGGGUCACUCAUUAUCUCUGCAUUAUAUGUGUAUAUGCUUGCAUACAUAUAUAGCAAAAAAACAACAACCCAGAUAGACUAAAGUUUUAACAGUGUAAGUGGCUCCAAUAAAAAUGGAAAGUAAAAUGUCUUCUAACAGAUGUGAGAGUUUUAUGGGCACCUCCCAGUUAUUGUAAAAUCCCAUCAUGAGAUAACCUAGCAUGUGACACCAUCUUGUAAGACACAGUAACUACAGUGGUACCUCGGGUUAAGAACUUAAUUCGUUCCGGAGGUCCGUUCUUAACCUGAAACUGUUCUUAACCUGAAGCACCACUUUAGCUAAUGGGGCCUCCCACUGCCACCGCGCCACUGGAGCACGAUUUCUGUUCUUAUCCUGAAGCAAAGUUCUUUUGACCUCCCUGCCAAUUUAGAUACAGCAACUGAACUGGAGGCCCCUCAACUGUCUUCGGGUCCAGUGUUGGACCAUUUCGAUCGGAUACUCCCUGCUGAUGUGGAUAGAUUCCUCCAAGCUGGUAGGCCCACCACCUGCCUCCUCGAUCUGUGCCUGUCUUGGCUGAUUAGGGUGUGUCCAGAUGUCGCGCGGACCCCCCUGGUUGAAAUUAUCAAUUUGUCCCUUGGCACGGGGACAUUCCCAGGGGAACUGAAGGAAGCAGUGGUGUGCCUGCUCUUAAAGAAAACUUCACUAGAUCCUUUAAGGUAAAGGUAAAGGUACCCCUGCCCGUACGAGCCAGUCGUGUCCGACUCUAAGGUUGCGUGCUCAUCUCGCUCUAGAGGCCGUGAGCCGACGCCGUCCAAAGACACUUCCGGGUCACGUGGCCAGCAUGACGAAGCUGCUCUGGCGAGCCAGCACCAGCGCAGCACACGGAAACGCCGUUUACCUUCCCCCUAUAAAGCGGUACCUAUUUAUCUACUUGCACUUAAGAGUGCUUUUGAACUGCUAGGUGGGCAGGAGCUGGGACUGAACGACGGGAGCUCACCCCGCCGCGGGGAUUCGAACCGCCGACCAUACGAUCGGCAAGUCCUAGGCACUGAGGUUUUACCCACAGAGCCAGACCUAUCCAAUUACCGCCCAGUUUCAAAUCUUCCAUAUCUGGGUAAGGUAAUUGAGAGAGCAGUUGCUGAACAGCUUGGUAGGUUUCUGGAAGAAACAUCAGCUUUAGAUCCAUUUCAGUCUCGGUUCCGUCCUGGUUUUGGGACCGAGACAGCUCUGGUUGCCCUAACAGAUGAUCUCCGUAGACAACUGGAUCGAGGUGGGUCAGGACUGCUGAUCCUUUUAGAUUUAUCAGCAGCCUUUGACAUGGUCGAUCAUGAUCUUCUGGACCACUGCCUCGCUGACGUGGGGAUACAGGGCAUAGCCCGUAAAUGGCUGUGCUCUUUUAUCUCUGGCCAGGGACAGAGGCUGGCGCUAGGGAGGGAGAUGUUGUCGCACCACUCCUUGGUGUGUGGAGUGCUGCAGGGUGCAUUUCUCUCCCCAAAGCUUUUUAACAUCUUUAUGUGCCCCCUUGCCCAGAUUGUCCGGAGCUUUGGGCUGGGCUGUCACCAAUAUGCUGAUGACACUCAGCUCUAUCUGCUGAUGGAUGGCCACACUGACUCGGCACCGGACACACUGACUAGAUGCUUGGAAGCUGUGGCUGGAUGGUUUUGUGGGAGCCGAUUGAAACUAAAUCCUUUGAAGACAGAGGUUCUCUGGCUGAGUCGGGAUGGCGUGGAGAUGAGGGACCAACUCCCUUCUCUUGCGGGGGCCCAAUUAGUGCCAUUGUCUUCCGUUAAGAGUUUGGAUGUAAUCCUUGAUGCCUCCCUUUCCAUGGAGGCACAGGUUACAGCAACAGCCAAGACGACAUUUUUCUACCUUCGCCGCAUCAAGCAGUUGGUCCCUUACCUUUCCCGCCCCAACCUGGCCACAGUGAUCCAUGAGACAGUCACCUCCAGGCUUGACUACUGUAAUUCGCUCUACGCAGGGCUGCCCUUGAAGCUGUCCCAGAAACUCCAGCGGGAGCAGAAUGCUGCAGCGAGUCUCCUCACGGGGUCUCUGCCAUGGGAGCAUAUUCACCCAGUGCUUUUCCAGCUGCACUGCCUACCGGUGGAGUGCAGGGUCAGAUUUAAGGUGCUGCUUUUGACCUUUAAAGCCCUUCACAGCCUAGGACCCUCGUACCUACGGGACCGCCUCUCCCGGUAUGCCCAAUGGAGAGCCUCAAGGUCCAUAAUUAGCAACACCCUAGUGGUCCUGGGCCCUAAGGAAGUUAGAUUAGCUUCAACCAGAGCCAGGGCCUUUUCAACACUGGCUCCGGCCUGGUGGAACGCUCUGCCUCAUGAGACCAGGGCCCUGCAGGAUCUGAUUUCUUUCCGCUGGGCCUGUAAGACAGAGUUGUUCCGCCUGGCCUUUGGCUUGGAGUCAAUUUGAUUCCUUCCCCCUCUUUCUUUUUUCUUUUUCCUUUCUCCUCCUGUGAUGAGGCUGCAUUUUAAUAUUUUAAUGUUUCAAUAUUUUAAUGUUGUAUUUUAAUCUUGUUUUUAAGUUGUAUUCAUUCAACUUGUUUUUAUUAUUGCUUGUUAGCCACCCUGAGCCCAGCCUUGGCUGGGGAGGGCGGGGUAUAAAUAAAAAUUAUUAUUAUUCUUAUUAUUAUUAAUCUGAGGUACUAUUUCUGGGUUAGCGGAGUCUGUAACCUGAAGCGUAUGUAACCUGAACCUGAAGAGGUACCACUGUACUAGAUCCCCCAGAAAAUGCAUUGGACACAAUGUUUUGGGAAGUUCUCUUGCAAAAAGAACACCAUGGAUGAACCUACUGCUUCUUGCUCUUCUCUCCACUCCUGCUUAGGAGAUAGAACAACACUUGACCACACAGCAAGUGGACUCCUCCCCUUUGCACUGGAAGCCACGAAUCCUAAGAAAUCCUGUUCCUGCUUUGGCAGAUUUUGAAAAGCAUUUAUUAGUUUUGAGGUAAUGUGAUUUCAGCAUUGGAACUGCAGAAAAGAACAUGUUUAAAAAAUGCAUGUUGAUGGUUCCUCUUUCUCCCUCUCUUGCUGUUUAAAAAUAUAAGAGCUUAGCUAAGUACAGAAGGUAGAACAGUGUCUCAAAGUUGCUUGCUGAUGUGAGUGCCGUGAGUGUUUGUUCUUAUAAUGCCG